GACGAACGCUGGCGGCGUGCUUAACACAUGCAAGUCGAACGGAAAGGCCCUGCGUUUGUGGGUUUCUCGAUUGGGGAACGGGGGAGUAACACGUGAGUAACCUGCCCUUGACUUUGGGGUAACUUCAGGAAACUGGGGCUAAUACCGGAUAGGAGCUCCUGCUGCGUGGUGGGGGUUGGAGAGUUUCGGCGGUGGGGGAUGGACUCGCGGGUUAUGAGCUUGUUGGUGGGGUAGUGGCUUACCACGGCUUUGACGGGUAGCCGGCCUGAGAGGGUGACCGGCCACCUUGGGCCUGAGAUACGGACCAGACUCGUACGGGAGGCAGCAGUGGGGAAUAUUGCACAAUGGGCGGAAGCCUGAUGCAGCAACGUCGCGUGCGGGAUGACGGCCUUCGGGUUGUAAACCGCUUUCGCCUGUGACGAAGCGUGCGUGACGGUAAUGGGUAAAGAAGCACCGGCUAACUACGUG
RNAcentral lists this ribosomal RNA (468 nucleotides) under uncultured bacterium. Its description in RNAcentral is "partial 16S ribosomal RNA". It matches the Rfam family "Bacterial small subunit ribosomal RNA", at positions 28 to 507 of the family's 1533-position model. The record is from RNAcentral.